This 77-nucleotide transfer RNA is filed under the name Rhizobium sp. Leaf383. RNAcentral describes it as "tRNA-Met". It matches the Rfam family "tRNA". Rfam says of the family: Transfer RNA (tRNA) molecules are approximately 80 nucleotides in length. Their secondary structure includes four short double-helical elements and three loops (D, anti-codon, and T loops). Further hydrogen bonds mediate the characteristic L-shaped molecular structure. tRNAs have two regions of fundamental functional importance: the anti-codon, which is responsible for specific mRNA codon recognition, and the 3' end, to which the tRNAs corresponding amino acid is attached (by aminoacyl-tRNA synthetases). tRNAs cope with the degeneracy of the genetic code in two manners: having more than one tRNA (with a specific anti-codon) for a particular amino acid; and 'wobble' base-pairing, i.e. permitting non-standard base-pairing at the 3rd anti-codon position. Lineage: Bacteria; Pseudomonadati; Pseudomonadota; Alphaproteobacteria; Hyphomicrobiales; Rhizobiaceae. RNAcentral also lists the same sequence under 1 other name. The record is from RNAcentral.
UGCGCGGUAGAGAAGCCCGGUAUCUCGCCAGCCUCAUAAGCUGGAGAUCGUCAGUUCGAAUCUGACCUGCGCAACCA